RNAcentral lists this unclassified non-coding RNA (363 nucleotides) under uncultured bacterium. Its description in RNAcentral is "contains 16S-23S intergenic spacer region". The record is from RNAcentral.
UCCCUGUUACCAGGGCAGUCUGAAUAGAAAAAUCCAACUAUUCAAAAGGGUUGCGCUCGUUGAUGGACUUAACCAAACAUCUCACGACACGAGCUGACGACGGCCAUGCAACACCUGUCACUUGGUUUCCGAAGACACUUUCUCCUUUCGGAGAAAUUCCAAGGAUGUCAAGCCUGGGUAAGGUUCUUCGCUUAUCAUCGAAUUAAACAACACGCUCCACCGCUUGUGCGGGUCCCCGUCAAUUCCUUUAUGUUUUAGCCUUGCGGCCGUACUCCACAGGCGGGAUGCUUAACGCGUUAGCUUCGUUACUAGCCGGGUCGAUACGGCUAACAACCAGCAUCCAUCGUUUACGGCGUGGACUAC